GAGGCCUUCCGUUGGGCCGGUGUGGCCUCGGGGCUCGGCCCAGGCCGAGGCCGAGGCGGAAACCUUUCUUUCUGAACCGCCUGGCGAUGUUGCGCCUUCCGACGUUUAGGGGCUCCCGUGCAGUCUUAAGCGCGUUUACGGGAGAGGAGGAACUGAAUUCAGUAGCUUCCGAUUUGCAGGUCAGAAAUGGUAAGAAAUAAUAAAUGAGAUGCAUACAAAUGUCAUCCUAAUAAAAAAAGAGUCUUAAGGGGACAGGUUGGGCUGAGAGGUACCGACUAAUGUCACCCCAUGAUCUUCCAUGGCUGACAGAGGACUUGAACCGGUUUCCCAGUUGUAAGUCCACCUUAGCCACUACACCACUUUGGUUCAUGCAUUAAGACAGUGAUUCUCAACUUUGGCAACUUUAAGAUGUGUGGACUUCAACUCCCAGAAUUCCCCAGCCAGAUAUUCUUAAUUGCAUUAAGAUAUUCAAAAGAAGCCCUUCACAGUGUUUCCUCUGUAAGAGAACUGUAUCUUUCUAGACUUCUCAGAGAGUGCCCUUGCUAUAACUCAACACCUCUUUUGUUCCACAUAUAUCAGUAAACAUCCAAAUUGCUCAUAAGUAUGCACAAUU
Long non-coding RNA from Python bivittatus (Burmese python), 613 nucleotides. RefSeq lists it as uncharacterized. The record is from RefSeq and is a predicted model, not a curated record. NCBI's taxonomy places the organism in Eukaryota, Metazoa, Chordata, Lepidosauria, Squamata, Pythonidae.